GAUGAACGCUGGCGGCGUGCCUAAUACAUGCAAGUCGAGCGAACGGACGAGAAGCUUGCUUCUCUGAUGUUAGCGGCGGACGGGUGAGUAACACGUGGAUAACCUACCUAUAAGACUGGGAUAACUUCGGGAAACCGGAGCUAAUACCGGAUGAUAUUUUGAACCGCAUGGUUCAAAAGUGAAAGACGGUCUUGCUGUCACUUAUAGAUGGAUCCGCGCUGCAUUAGCUAGUUGGUAAGGUAACGGCUUACCAGGGCAACGAUGCAUAGCCGACCUGAGAGGGUGAUCGGCCACACUGUAACUGAGACACGGUCCAGACUCCUACGGGAGGCAGCAGUAGGGAAUCUUCCGCAAUGGGCGAAAGCCUGACGUAGCAACGCCGCGUGAGUGAUGAAGGUCUUCGGAUCGUAAAACUCUGUUAUUAGGGAAGAACAUAUGUGUAAGUAACUGUGCACAUCUUGACGGUACCUAAUCAGAAAGCCACGGCUAACUACGUG
This 497-nucleotide ribosomal RNA is filed under the name uncultured bacterium. Its description in RNAcentral is "partial 16S ribosomal RNA". It matches the Rfam family "Bacterial small subunit ribosomal RNA", at positions 28 to 507 of the family's 1533-position model. The record is from RNAcentral.